AUGUAAGGGGAACAUUUCCCGGACCAUUAGGAACAAGUUUUAUAUGAUUCGGUUGUCGGUUAGUGAAUGAACGGAUUGUUUCGUGUUAGUGUAGGAAAUUUUAUAAGUAUAUGUGUAUAGGAAUCCAAAGGCCACGUGGGUUGAAUCAUAGAUUGUCUAUACUAUGUAAAGUUGUGAAUGUGACAUUCCGGCAUAAACCUACAUGUAAAAGAAGCUUGUGUAUAUAUUCGUGAUUAAUUGAUUGUGCGUAGGAAGGAACAUUGGCAUGUAUGAAGGUAUGGGAUCGUUGGCUUCAUGAAGAAAUGGAGCUGGAUUUGGAUAAGAGUAUUUAA
RNAcentral lists this long non-coding RNA (332 nucleotides) under Helianthus annuus (common sunflower). RNAcentral's name for it is "sRNA HanXRQr2_Chr01g0014901". Lineage: Eukaryota; Viridiplantae; Streptophyta; Magnoliopsida; Asterales; Asteraceae. The record is from RNAcentral.